UUGGAGGGCAAGUCUGGUGCCAGCAGCCGCGGUAAUUCCAGCUCCAAUAGCGUAUAUUAAAGUUGUUGCAGUUAAAAAGCUCGUAGUUGAAUUUCGGGGUUAGUAGGUUGGUCAUGCCUCUGGUAUGUACUGGUCUCACUGAUUCCUCCUUCCUUAUGAACCGUAAUGCCAUUAAUUUGGUGUUGCGGGGAAUUUGGACUGUUACUUGGAAAAAAUUAGAGUGUUUAAAGCAGGCUAACGCUUGAAUACAUUAGCAUGGAAUAAUGAAAUAGGACGUUCGAUCUUAUUUUGUUGGUUUCUAGGAUUGACGUAAUGAUUAAUAGGGAUAGUUGGGGGCAUUAGUAUUCAAUUGUCAGAGGUGAAAUUCUUGGAUUUAUUGCAGACUAACUACUGCGAAAGCAUUUGCCAAGGAUGUUUUCAUUAAUCAAGAACGAAAGUUAGGGGAUCGAAGACGAUCAGAUACCGUCGUAGUCUUACCAUAACUAUGCCGACUAGGGAUCGGAUGAUGUUAAUUUUUUAAUGACUCAUUCGGCGCCUUACGGGAAAC
Molecule: ribosomal RNA, 547 nt
Filed under: uncultured Rhizophagus
Lineage: Eukaryota; Fungi; Glomeromycota; Glomeromycetes; Glomerales; Glomeraceae
Description: SSU rRNA
Rfam family: Eukaryotic small subunit ribosomal RNA
Source: RNAcentral